This 2384-nucleotide long non-coding RNA is filed under the name Cricetulus griseus (Chinese hamster). Its description in RNAcentral is "lncRNA (ENSCGRG00015032470.1)". The record is from RNAcentral. Lineage: Eukaryota; Metazoa; Chordata; Mammalia; Rodentia; Cricetidae.
GAGACCUUAGACCUGCUGAGCUGCCUGCAAGUCCCGCAGGGAGCUCCAUGACUCCCGGGUCCCUGAGUCGCCACCCGCCUGGGAGUGACUUUUAGUGAUGCAGCUGCCUUUGAAUCGUCCAUGCUCCUGCGCUUCGUUGGGGCUUUGCAUGGACUGCUUGGCCCGGAAUGUGGAUCUGCAGCCUCUCGCUGCUAGGCUACCAUCCGGUUCCCCCCUUAGGGGUAACCGUCACUCUAUGGCCGCCACCGCCAGAUAACCAAUGCCUGCUUUCCGUAUGGUUCGGUUCUGAGUAUCAAGGCGAGUGGUGGACUUGGGAAAACCAGACCCGAAGGAGACGCUUCGCAGUGUCCUUGGCAAGGAGUCAAGGGAAGCCCAUGAGGUCCUGCCUCCAAAUACCAAGCUUGUAGCCACCUCGAUCGGAUCUUGGAUGCCUCCUCCCCCAAAACAGAUCUCGCAUAAGGGCCUGGGAUUAACAAGGGGUUCAGAGUCCCCUUCCUUGGCAUAGAUGACCACACACCCACCCAUCGAACUUUCCUACAUGAAGUGCCUGGGCCCAGACACCCCUAGCCCAGACCGUGAUCUGUGAGGCCCGACACUCUUGGUGCUGGCACCGAGUGGGUGAGGCAGUUCCCUCUCUUUGGCGAAUGGGGAAGCUCCUGGCUUGAUUCCCUGCGUGGUCUCGGGGUCCACAGGCCGUGACCAAGGAGAGAAGAGAGUCUGGCCCUGCCUCGGGGAGGAGGGCCAGCGUGCAGAUUUAUGACCCUACCCUGUCCCUGCGCACCAAAAGCAACUCAAGCCAGACAGUGGAAUGUAAGACCCGACCCGGGCCAGAGGAGGAGGCCAGGGUCGGAGGCGGGGCUGAGAGGAGCAGAAAUUCGAAGUGGCCGGGUGCCACCGCCCCGGGGUUACCGGUUGCUCGUUGGGGUCCGGAUGCUGUGCGUGGCUCUGGCACCACAUCUUUGGUUCUGCUGGUGGGCCUGGGUUGCCCUUGGAUGAACCUCUUCAGGAUUCCCACCUUCUGAUGGGCCAACCGCAGCGAGAGACUGCGAGCGUGGCUGGGCCCAGCCUGGCCUCUCCGGGUUUUAGCGGCGCCCGGGCCGGGAGCUGUAGGGUAGCCGGAUUUAGGAUCUACGGAAACGCUCGCUUUAGACUCUACUAUGGCAUCUCCACGGGAGGCACAACUCAGCUUUCUCUUGGGAUCCCCUUUACUUAAGUCUCCAGUGGAGUUCACUCCUUGGGAGAGCUGGUUUGGGGCAACCGAUACAGGGUGGUUUGGAUGUCCUCCCUUAGGAAUGGAAACUAGCUUUGUUUCUUUUUCCUUCUUCCCCUGAUGAAGGAGUAUGGUGGAAACCUGUUCACAGCGCUAGCAACAUCGGGGGUGUGGAUGAUGAUGAGGUCAACCUUUCGUGGGGCAUAAGUGAGGGAAGGAAACGCGGGGUUCCCUGGAGCUGGACAAAGGCGCACCGCAGGGGAGGCAGCCGCGCUCAAGGUUGGCCUGUCCUCUGAUUUUACAACAAAGAGCUUUGAGUUUUGUCCGUGGGGACUCGUUCAGACCGGGACUAGGGACCUGGAAGAACACACUAGAAGGCUCAGGAGUGGCCGGGGACGACCACGCCGGACCAGACAGGCCAGCUCGAGUGGGUUGUCCGGGAACUGCGUCCUGGGACUACAUGGAGGCCCCCCCCCCCAGCUGAUUUUCCAUCCAGUCAGUACAACACACACACUGCGUCAACACAGUUUUUCUGGCCACGGAUCCUGACGGGUAAACAAGCGAGAGGGAUGGGGGAUGGGGCGCGAAGAUGGCGCCUGGACCCGUGGUCCGUGCAUUUGUCCCCAUCUCCGUUUUAGGACGAGCACACCCGGCUUUUGUAGUUAAGAGCGUCUCUGCCCCGGCUGUAGGUCGUUUCCCCAGACCCAGAGGCUCUCGGAAGUGGUGUGGUGUUGGUGCAACCUCUGCUUCUCUGCAAGUCCCCACGCCCCAACAUGGCUCCCAACCGCUGUUACAUGUAGGGGGACACAGGGGCGUGGAGACCAGGGCCCUCGCCUGCCCACCGCACACUUAUACUUGGCAGACUGGAGAGACGCAGGAGGGACCCAGCCUGCGUUCCCCUGCUUGGGCGCUGGGAAUCCGGUGCCACCGGUUCCCCAGGUUCAGCGCACCGGUGGCCCGAGAGCCGAGUGGCAGGCCGAGAGGGGACCCAGAACGCCGCACAUUCCAGGGGGGAGCGGGCCACGUUCCACACCAACCACGGCCCUAAUGAAACUGGGUCGGUACGCCACGCAGACAGGGCGCACACUUGAAAAAUGCAAACGCCACCGGCAAAUCCCAGGCAAAUUGGAAUAAUUUUUUAUUAGCAGCUAAAUGAUUUAUGGCACAAUACCCC